This is an RNA transcript of Candoia aspera, 1589 nucleotides long. It is a transcript of the gene named protein tyrosine kinase 6, with no coding region annotated. NCBI's taxonomy places the organism in Eukaryota, Metazoa, Chordata, Lepidosauria, Squamata, Candoiidae. The transcript is spliced from 9 exons. The record is from RefSeq and is a predicted model, not a curated record.
UCGCCAUGGCCCGCAAGCCAGGAUCCGGGGCCGAAUGUCCUCUUUACACCAGCCUGUGGGAUUUUCAGGCGCGGACCGAAACGGAGCUGAGCUUCCAGGCAGGAGACCUGUUCCGGGUGAUUGAGAAGACCGGGGAGUGGUGCUGGGCCAAGCAGGUGGAUGCUCUGGGCAGAAAAUGCGAGGAAGGCUACGUCCCUUAUAGCUACCUCGCCCGGAAAGAGACGGUGGAGACGGAGCCGUGGUUCUUUGGGCAAAUCUCCCGUUCCGAAGCAGUGCUUCGACUGAUGUCCGAAGAAAAUAAAUCUGGGGCCUUCCUGAUCCGUAUCAGUGAGAAAAGCGGGGCAGACUAUGUGCUUUCAGUCCGCGACGGCCCGCAGGCCAGGCACUACAAGAUCUUGCGGGACGCCGGGGGGAGUUUCUACAUGAACGGGACGAGGUCUUUCCCGGACCUGCUCGCCCUGGUUACGUGUUACAAGGAAAAGGUUCUAACUCACGGGUUGAGGCUUUCGGAUCCCUGCCACAAGCCGGAGCCAAAUACCAUGCCCCACUGGGAUGACUGGGAGAGGCCCAAAGAAGAGUUUCAGCUGAUCCGGAAGCUGGACGCAGGCUACUUUGGAGAAGUCUACGAGGGACUCUGGAAGGACAGAAUAAAGGUUGCGGUCAAGGUGUUGCCCAAAGCUGAUCUGAUGUGCCAGGACACCUUCAAAAAUGAAAUUGAGGCCCUGAAGCUGUUGAAGCACAAGAACAUUCUCUCCCUAUACGCCAUCUGCUCCGUCGGGGAUCCCGUCUACAUCAUUACAGAAAUCAUGAGCAAAGGGAACUUGCUCGCGUUCCUGCGAGGUUCUGAUGGGAAGCAGAUGGAAGUGGUGGAGCUGGUCAGCUUGGCUUCCCAAGUGGCCGAGGGGAUGAGCUACCUCGAAUCGCACAAUUUCAUCCAUCGCGAUCUGGCUGCCAGGAACAUCCUGGUGGGAGAAAACAACGUCUGCAAAGUGGGAGAUUUUGGAAUGGUCCGGCUGAUCAAGGAUCAUAUUUACCUCUCUUACUCGCACAAAAUUCCUUACAAAUGGACAGCACCGGAAGCGCUUUCCCACGGCUGCUUCUCCAUCAAAUCCGACGUGUGGUCCUUCGGCGUCCUCCUGUAUGAGAUCAUGACUUGGGGCCAGAACCCGUAUCCAGGCAUGAGUAACUGGGAGGUGUUCACGCACGUUCAAAACGGUUUCCAGAUGUCCUGCCCGCCCAGGUGCCCGUCCGCCAUGUACACCAUCAUGUGCAAAUGCUGGAAACUAGAGCCCACCCAAAGGCCGGACUUCAAGAGCAUCCGAGAGCAACUCCAGAGUUUCACCAGCUAUGAGAACUUUGACGCCCUCCCUUAAAACUACCUUAAACAAUUGGGGACAAGUUGAAACUUCCCACAUCUUAACAUUCACCCACAAAUAAGGGGUAGAGGGGCAGAUCACGGCUACCGAGAAACUGUAGCACCAUCAGCCCUGUUGGGAAGGGAAGGGACGGAUCCUAGUUUAACAAAAAAGUCGUGUCUCUGGGACACUGGUUCACCCAGCCACUGAAAUAAACUGCAAGGAUUUUCAAAA